This 898-nucleotide ribosomal RNA is filed under the name uncultured bacterium. RNAcentral describes it as "bacterial SSU rRNA". It matches the Rfam family "Bacterial small subunit ribosomal RNA", at positions 11 to 915 of the family's 1533-position model. The record is from RNAcentral.
GUUUGAUCCUGGCUCAGGAUGAACGCUAGCGGCAGGCUUAACACAUGCAAGUCGAGGGGUAUAGUUCUUCGGAACUAGAGACCGGCGCACGGGUGCGUAACGCGUAUGCAAUCUACCUUUUACAGAGGGAUAGCCCAGAGAAAUUUGGAUUAAUGCCUCAUGGUAUAAUUGAAUGGCAUCAUUUGAUUAUUAAAGUUCCAACGGUAAAAGAUGAGCAUGCGUCCCAUUAGUUAGUUGGUAAGGUAACGGCUUACCAAGACGAUGAUGGGUAGGGGUCCUGAGAGGGAGAUCCCCCACACUGGUACUGAGACACGGACCAGACUCCUACGGGAGGCAGCAGUGAGGAAUAUUGGACAAUGGGCGCAAGCCUGAUCCAGCCAUGCCGCGUGCAGGAAGAAGCAUCUAUGGUGUGUAAACUGCUUUUGUACGGGAAGAAACAGCAGUUCGUGAACUGCCUUGACGGUACCGUAAGAAUAAGGAUCGGCUAACUCCGUGCCAGCAGCCGCGGCAAUACGGAGGAUCCAAGCGUUAUCCGGAAUCAUUGGGUUUAAAGGGUCCGUAGGCGGUUUAAUAAGUCAGUGGUGAAAUCUGGUCGCUCAACGAUCAAACGGCCAUUGAUACUGUUAGACUUGAAUUACAAGGAAGUAACUAGAAUAUGUAGUGUAGCGGUGAAAUGCUUAGAUAUUACAUGGAAUACCAAUUGCGAAGGCAGGUUACUACUUGUGGAUUGACGCUGAUGGACGAAAGCGUGGGGAGCGAACAGGAUUAGAUACCCUGGUAGUCCACGCCGUAAACGAUGGAUACUAGCUGUUGGGCGCAAGUUCAGUGGCUAAGCGAAAGUGAUAAGUAUCCCACCUGGGGAGUACGUUCGCAAGAAUGAAACUCAAAGGAAUUGACG